GAUGAACGCUGGCGGCGUGCCUAAUACAUGCAAGUCGAGCGAACGGACGAGAAGCUUGCUUUUCUGAUGUUAGCGGCGGACGGGUGAGUAACACGUGGAUAACCUACCUAUAAGACUGGGAUAACUUCGGGAAACCGGAGCUAAUACCGGAUAAUAUUUUGAACCGCAUGGUUCAAAAGUGAAAGACGGCCUUGCUGUCACUUAUAGAUGGAUCCGCGCUGCAUUAGCUAGUUGGUAAGGUAACGGCUUACCAAGGCAACGAUGCAUAGCCGACCUGAGAGAGUGAUCGGCCACACUGGAACUGAGACACGGUCCAGACUCCUACGGGAGGCAGCAGUAGGGAAUCUUCCGCAAUGGGCGAAAGCCUGACGGAGCAACGGCGCGUGAGUGAUGAAGGUCUUCGGAUCGUAAAACUCUGUUAUUAGGGAAGAACAUAUGUGUAAGUAACUGUGCACAUCUUGACGGUACCUAAUCAGAAAGCCACGGCUAACUACGUG
This 497-nucleotide ribosomal RNA is filed under the name uncultured bacterium. RNAcentral describes it as "partial 16S ribosomal RNA". It matches the Rfam family "Bacterial small subunit ribosomal RNA", at positions 28 to 507 of the family's 1533-position model. The record is from RNAcentral.